AGGACGAACGCUGGCGGCGUGCUUAACACAUGCAAGUCGAGCGGAAAGGCCCUUCGGGGUACUCGAGCGGCGAACGGGUGAGUAACACGUGAGCAACCUGCCCCUGGCUCUGGGAUAGCCUCCGGAAACGGGGAUUAAUACCGGACAUUCACUUCCUUCCGCAUGGUUGGUGGUGGAAAGUUUUUUCGGCCGGGGAGGGGCUCGCGGCCUAUCAGCUUGUUGGCGGGGUAAUGGCCUACCUAGGCUCCGACGGGUAGCUGGUCUGAGAGGACGAUCAGCCACACUGGGACUGAGACACGGCCCAGACUCCUACGGGAGGCAGCAGUGGGAAUCUUGCGCAAUGGGCGAAAGCCUGACGCAGCAACGCCGCGUGAGGGACGAAGGCCUUCUGGGUUGUAAACCUCUUUCAGCAGGGACGAUGAUGACGGUACCUGCAGAAGAGCCCGGCACUACGUGCCAGCAGCCGC
RNAcentral lists this ribosomal RNA (467 nucleotides) under uncultured bacterium. RNAcentral describes it as "SSU rRNA". It matches the Rfam family "Bacterial small subunit ribosomal RNA", at positions 26 to 518 of the family's 1533-position model. The record is from RNAcentral.